Ornithodoros turicata is the source of this 910-nucleotide long non-coding RNA. RefSeq lists it as uncharacterized. The transcript has 2 exons. Lineage: Eukaryota; Metazoa; Arthropoda; Arachnida; Ixodida; Argasidae. The record is from RefSeq and is a predicted model, not a curated record.
AGCGCGCAUGACAGUCUCUGAGCAGCUGCUGAUCCGGUUUCAAUCCGAGGGAGACGAAUUUUUGCAAUCAAUCAUCACAUGUGAUAAAACCUGGAUGCAUCAUUUCAUCCCAGAGACAAAAAGGAGCAGCAUGGAAUCGCGACAUUAGGCUUCCUCGCCGCCAUGUGAAGUUCAUGGGAAUUGUCUUCUGGGAGAUGCGAGGUGUCAUACACGUGGACUUCUUGGAGCAAGGGGCCACGACUAAUGCCCAGUACUACUCCACGGUGAUAAAGGGUGCCGUACGAAACGCAAUUCGCAAGAAAAGGCCUGGGAUGUCGUCCGGAAGGGUAAUUCUUCUUCAAGGCAAUGCCCGAAUCGGCGAAUUGGUUGACUGGUGGCGUAUUAUUACCGAGCGUUCUGCCUGCCGGCGGAAGGCAUGGUACCCUGGGAGGACCGUGCGCCCUGGACCAACUUCAUAGGGGACCUUACCGACAACUGAGGAGAACCUAGGAAAAACACCCAGUCAGCGUAGCCGGGUCACCUGCCAGUUUCAAUUUCGAAGGCGAUGAUCUUCGCCACUAAGAGAAUCCUACUGUGCUACUUGGGGGCAAGGACAGACACAAGUGUACAGCCACGGGCUAGAGAUUUGCAUUUCAAUUCUGCACAAAUAAAGCGGAGUCAGUUGCAAGUAGGAAGCUGUAGAACAUUAUGUGCACCAGUGGCAGCAUCUGCAUUCUUUUGUGCCACAGUUGCCGUCUUUCUGUGCGCCAAGGUGUGCUCCCACCGAUGAGUAUUCCAAUGCACACUUUCAGGGCAAUUAUGCUAGCGCCUCCUGAACAGCAAUACCAGCUCUUGAUAAUGAGCAAUUCUAGAGCGAGCUCAUCAAUAUCUUUGCUGAUUGCGACAUGUGUAUUAAACGUUCAUGACCGCA